Long non-coding RNA from Mastomys coucha (southern multimammate mouse), 556 nucleotides. RefSeq lists it as uncharacterized. NCBI's taxonomy places the organism in Eukaryota, Metazoa, Chordata, Mammalia, Rodentia, Muridae. The record is from RefSeq and is a predicted model, not a curated record. The transcript has 3 exons.
UUUCUGAACUACUUCCAGGCAUGACGAUUUCAACUUCAUGCAGCAAAUUCCAGGAGGCUAUCAACAACCAUGAAGAUGUCAACUGUCAAAGCCUCCACAGUCCUGAGGUCUGAGAAACCUCAUUAGCCAAAUACUAUUUUGGAAUGAUAACAUAUUGAUGACACAUACCUGAACUGCUCUACGAAGCAUGACCUAACAGCAAAGCAGCUGUUGGGUUAUCCAGUGGUCUGAGGCAACCCUUGUUAAAGGGUUGGCCAUUCCCAAAGCAGCCGCCACCCACAGGUUGAGAAUCACUGUUCUAGCUAAUACAGCUGGUAUCCGCUCCGGAGAGAUGGCUCAGCACUUCAAAGGACUUGUUUUGAAUUCCUGACAACCCUGGAGUCCCCGUAGAAGAAACAAAAGAACCAAGAACCAGAACCACCUCCACCAAGUUGUCUUCUGAGUGGCAUGCCCUCUGUGGCAGGCACACCCAGACUCACAUUCACAUAUACUCAUGCACACAUAUCCACACAGACUCACAUUCACAUAUACUCAUGCACACAUAUCCACACAUGCU